RNAcentral lists this ribosomal RNA (253 nucleotides) under uncultured bacterium. RNAcentral's name for it is "partial 16S ribosomal RNA". It matches the Rfam family "Bacterial small subunit ribosomal RNA", at positions 524 to 776 of the family's 1533-position model. The record is from RNAcentral.
UACGUAGGGCGCAAGCGUUGUCCGGAAUUAUUGGGCGUAAAGGGCUCGUAGGCGGCCAACUAAGUCGGAUGUGAAAUCCCCAGGCUCAACUUGGGAACUGCAUCCGAUACUGGAUGGCUUGAAUUCGGGAGAGGGAUGCAGAAUUCCGGGUGUAGCGGUGGAAUGCGUAGAGAUCCGGAAGAACACCGGUGGCGAAGGCGGCCUCCUGGGCCAGCACUGACGCUCAUGCACGAAAGCGUGGGGAGCAAACAGG